Molecule: ribosomal RNA, 500 nt
Filed under: uncultured bacterium
Lineage: Bacteria
Description: bacterial SSU rRNA
Rfam family: Bacterial small subunit ribosomal RNA
Source: RNAcentral
GGCGGUUUGAUCAUGGCUCAGGACGAACGCUGGCGGCGUGCUUAACACAUGCAAGUCGAGCGGAAAGGCCCUUCGGGGUACUCGAGCGGCGAACGGGUGAGUAACACGUGAGCAACCUGCCCUUAGCUUCGGGAUAGCUCCGGGAAACCGGAAUUAAUACCGAAUACGACCACAGCCGACAUCUGCUGUGGUGGAAAGAAUUUCGGCUAAGGAUGGGCUCGCGGUCUAUCAGCUAGUUGGUGGGGUAACGGCCCACCAAGGCGACGACGGAUAGCCGGCCUGAGAGGGCGACCGGCCACACUGGGACUGAGACACGGCCCAGACUCCUACGGGAGGCAGCAGUGGGGAAUAUUGCGCAAUGGGCGAAAGCCUGACGCAGCGACGCCGCGUGGGGGAUGAAGGCCUUCGGGUUGUAAACCCCUUUCAGCAGGGACGAAGCGAAAGUGACGGUACCUGCAGAAGAAGCGCCGGCUAACUACGUGCCAGCAGCCGCGGUAAUA